AGAUGCUGCAUUUGCGGGAGCGAGCGCUGCGACCAGUGCAGUGCAUCCGCAGCAACCUUCUGGUGGUGGUCGGCGACUGCCUUGGGAGGCCCAUGUGGUGGAGGAAGUCGACUACUAAUUGGCAACCGAGGCGUCCGCGUAUGAUUCAACAUUACAAACACUGAUUAGACAUAUUUUGCUGUUUGGACAUAAUGAGACCGUCUUCCUUUCAUGCCACGCUUAACCAGAGGUAUGUGAGUGUUUCUGUCAGAACUUUACAGUGUGAAAACAAAAGGAGUCCCUCAGGAUAGCAACGUUGCACAACCACAUCAUGCAGAAUGACAAGAAACUAUCUGCCCUGUAGAGCAGACAUGGUCACAUCAUUAUCACUAGGUGGCUCUUCCUCCGUUACCCUUAUGUGGAAAUAUGCUGGAUGCUUAGGUUCAGGCAGGGCCAUAAUUUCGCUGCUUAACAUCGCAGCCACACCCGUUGUGGUGGGUCUGUCAACCGCAUUCUCUUGCACACAGAGCAGUGCGAUGUUGAUGCACCUCAUCGUCUCUAACACAUCAGACUCUGAAACUAUUGAUUCAUCGACGAACUCAAGCCAUCUUUCCUCUUUCCACAACUUCCAUGCCUUGCAGGAGUUUAGAUACAUAUAUUAAAUAUAGGUCAUUAGAUAAACAAAGCGAAUUUACAUAUUAGAUACAAGAAAAUACUUACAUAUCCAAGAAGGUUGAAGAAGUCCCCAAAUUGAUGAAAACAUGAGUUCCUUUUUCCAUGGAUGAUCUCAAGAAUUAGCACACCAAAGCUGAAUACAUCAGAUUUGAUCGAGAAGAGACCCUCCGAAGCAUACUCGGGAGCCAUGUACCCACUGAAAAUAUAGGGGGGAAAUAAACUUCUAUUUCAGCUUUUUGUAUAUGGCUGACUUGUGCAGGAUGGACUAAUUUGUAAGAAGAGCUUACUAUGUCCCAGCAAUCCUUUUUGUGUUCCCUUCGGUAUCAUUUGAGCUGAAUAUUUUUGCAAGCCCAAAAUCUGAUAUUUUAGGAUUCAUUUCACCGUCCAAAAGAAUGUUGCUUGCUUUAAGAUCUCUAUGUAUGACCCGUAACCGAGAGUGCUUAUGCAAAUAUAGAAGUCCUUGUGCUAUCCCUUCGAUAAUCGCUUUUCUUUUGUUCCAUUCCAAUAAAGCCUUUUUAGUUUCAUCUGCACACAAGUUAAUGAUAUAUGUAUAUUAGAUGGGGAGGAAGGUUCUGGGGAUAAUUUUAGCAGAUAGAGUUAACCCAUAAUCUGUAACAGAAAACUACAAGGAGUAAUACCAAAGAUAAAGAAAUCCAAGCUUUUAUUUGCCAAAUAUUCAUAGAUUAAUAUUUUCUCUUCUCCUUGAGAGCAACAUCCCAAUAGCCUAACCAAAUUUGUGUGCUGGAGCUUGGCUAUGAGUUGGACUUCAUUUUUAAACUCUGUGAAACCCUGCCCAGACUGCGAAGCUAGUCUCUUAAUUGCUAUUUCCAAACCUCCAGGAAGCUGGCCCUGUGGAGGUUUAAAAGAGCUUGAUCAGUGAUAUCAUCUUGCGAAAUAGAAGCGGUUUACUCAUCUUCUGAUCAGUAACCCCCCAUGCUUGUGAGUAAAAUUAAAGCUACAUGUAUAAAAUCCACUAGGUCGUACAAAUUAGCUAUCGAUGCAAACUAGGUUCGAUUUUUGUUCUCUUUGUGUACAUGGAUAAAUGUGUUCUUUUACCUUGUAUACUGGGCCAAAGCCACCUUGCCCCAAUUUAUUUUCAUCUGAGAAGUUACUCGUAGCAUCUGAUAGUUGUGAAAAGUUAAAAAGCUUGAGCUCUGAACUCCUCCCUAUCCCCCAGACUAACUCUUCAUCUUCCUGAGAGCUCACUUUACCAAAAUUCGAAAAUCAGAGUUUAUGUAAUCCUUUCAGGUAAGCGAAUAUAUAUGAAUCUAAACAGCCUAAGAAAUUUGUGAGUACAGCAACAUUUCCAUAACUAACCUUUAAUGUUCCUUUUGACUAGUUUAAACCAUACAAUGAAGCACAAAAAUGAUGCUAGUAGAAGCAUAGCAGUGGUAAUGAUCCAUACCUUUAUUAUAUGCCCUAAAACGAAAGAUUUCACACAAACAUAGGUGGUUAGUUGAUUAGACAAAUCAACCAAUGUAACUACACAAUAAACUUUGGUAUUUAUGUUUUGAGGAAUAUCCUAACAUAUUAUAAUCUCUUGCUGCAAAAGUUCACUUUUCAACCUUAAGAUCUGAAACCAGUUGUUUUUAACCUUGAAAGAUUGAAUCUGUUCACUGUAGCCCUUUGGCCCUAUCCCAAGCGGUUUUGAGCUGAUUUGGAUGACAUGUGGUAGACAUGUAGCAUCACUUCUGCACGGCAGCCCUUUGCCAUGUUUGCAGCUUAAGUGAAGAGAAAAGAAAAACCGAAACAUUUCCAAAAAAAAUGCAAAAAACCAAGGAAAACAGAAAACAGAAGAGAUGGGAAUUUACGUAUAGAGGUACAACACGUGUCUUCUGAGACAGCUAAAACAACUUGGAACAGGGCCAAUGGGGUAAACUGAACGGAUUCAACAGUUCAAGGUUGAGCACAACCGGUUUUGGAUGUUAAGGGAAAUACAAAUUUUUGUAAUAGUUUAGUGUUGAAAAAUGGGCAUUUUCUGUAUGUUAUUAAGAAUAUUUAAACAUAUAAUAUAGUCUAAGGCUGCAUCGCAAGCAUGGUUGUUGAAUUAAAGCGUUGAUCAAAGGGUAGCAGUCACCCCACCCAGGUGAAUUAAUUAUGUCUUUCAGAAUCAUCAAAAUUGAUUUGCGGUCAUUAGAUCUAGAGACUUAGAUCUAUAUUGAAAGGUGCUCUGUACCCAUAACCCCGCUCAUUGUUCCAGCACAAAUCUACUCGUCAGCUGGGUUCCCAUCAGACUCAAGCAUCGAGUUAAAUGAAGUUUUGGAAUAGCUAGUCAGUCUAAUGAUGCUUGAGUCUGAUGGGCACCAAGUUUGUAUUCAUAAGGAUGCUGCAGUAUAGUCAAUUUCUGUGUCAUAAAGAUGUGAUAGGAUCUCAUAAUAUGAAUACAAACAGAUAUAAAAUAUGGGGAAAGUGCCCUUUAGAAGAAGGAAAAAGGAAGACAGACUAGUUUUAGGGAAAGAAAUAACAUAUUGUCUUACUCUUAUCUUUCUGCCUUGGAACACCAACCGGCCCUGGCGCCGGCAUGUUUGUUGUUGGAUCUACAACAUCUGACCAGCCGGUCUUCUUCGUGGGCUGGUCAUUGUAGAACUGAUACGUGCUGUACCUAAAAUUGCACCACACACCAGCAAUCCAUUCACCAUGUUGCUCGUGGAAGGAACCCCUUGCUACGCUCCUGAUAUUGUCGAGGCAAUCCCAGCAGUCAUUCGGUCGUAGGUCCAGGUUGCACUGCGCCAUAGAGUAGAGCAGCGGGAGUCCGUGGGAGACAUCCAGGCGGCCGGUGGCAUACAUCAUUGUAGAGUUGUAGGCUGCCUGUUUGGCUGUCUCUUGGAGCAGCACCUUGAUGUUGCCAUCAAUGGUGGCGUCGGUGAAGUUGGCGAUCCCAGAGAACUGAUUGCUGGCAUCUGUAGUGUCCUUAAGAAUCAGCAACCUGCGUAGCACCAAACUGGAGUUGUAGACAAGGUCCUCGGUGGAGACGUGGACGAUGCAGUCCCAAUACAAGAAAUGCAUGUCCAUUUGCGAUCCGCAGAGCCGCCAAGCAUCAUGGAACGCGGUGGUGAUGCAGCUGGAGCAUGCAGAUGCUGUGGCGUCGCCGGGGCACUGUGUGACACCAUAAAUUCGGUCUUGGUCGGUUCCGACGAAGCCCUUGGCCUGUAUGGUUCUUGUCGAUGAGGCAUUCGUGGAUAGCACAGUAGAUAGGAGCUCAAGGUUAGCUUGGUAGGUGCUAUUAUAGGGGACGCUGGUGUAGCAGAUCUGAUCCAGUGGAUCGCCGGCGGCGAUGAAUGGCUCGAAGCCGAGAAUGAGCAGUAAGACGAUGAACAUGGCUAACCAAAAGGUUAUUCAGCCCAACCUCUGUAGCAGCUCCUUAUUAUCAGCAUCAUUUGGGAAACUUUUCCAGCUUAUGGUUUGACUGCUUACUUGAUUAGUGAUUAAUGAUAACAUCAGCCUGCAGGCCGUGCACGUAGAAUACAAUGAUGCUGCCGUCCAGGCAUCAUCGGUAUGUGUAAUCAAAAUUAGUUGGAAUACAAGUGAUGCCAGGCAAGUGGAGUACACAAUGUAGAUGUAGAAGAAGGAACAAAUCCAGUUUCAGUGUUUCAGUCAAAGGAGAAGAGGUCUUCUUAUUGCGACCUUGAACGAGCAGCGAAGUCGAAGAUGAUUCUGUUGCGACUGUUUGGUAAGCUGUGGGCUAUCUGUUAGAAGCUGGAUCCAGAAAUAUUGUUUCUUAUACGGAACCGGUUUGAAAAUUAUGUAAGCUCCUUUCAUGCUGGUAUUUGUCAUGACAUUGAAGAUCUCAAGUAUGUAAACUUGGUUGGAAUAUUUUUUAUUAUGUAAUGUUGUUUGUAAACCAAGUUCGAUAUCUCGACAGUUUGUUAACUAAGUUUCAACGGGUAUCUUUUUUUUUUGGAGAGCA
Triticum aestivum (bread wheat) is the source of this 4561-nucleotide long non-coding RNA. RefSeq lists it as uncharacterized. The record is from RefSeq and is a predicted model, not a curated record. Lineage: Eukaryota; Viridiplantae; Streptophyta; Magnoliopsida; Poales; Poaceae. The transcript is spliced from 2 exons.